RNAcentral lists this unclassified non-coding RNA (303 nucleotides) under Hevea brasiliensis (rubber tree). Lineage: Eukaryota; Viridiplantae; Streptophyta; Magnoliopsida; Malpighiales; Euphorbiaceae. The record is from RNAcentral.
GGAGGUAGCUUCUAUGCGGGUGGAUAAGGAACAAGAGAACAGGGCGAAGCGGCUUGGCAAUACUAAGGGGUCUGCAAGUUCCUCACAAUUGCUUCCUGGGAGAAAUAUCCCUCGAAGCAGCCUGGUCCGUAACCUUCAAUGACAGAGUCGUCGUCGCAGCCUGAAAGAGCUUCUCCCGUGUUAUCAUCUUUACUUAGUUCUCAUAUUGAUUUUGGAAUUAAACUCGGCAUCGACUACCCUGCGACAAUGUGGUAGGUCUGCAUCUGACAUGACUUGCUGUAGGGGAAAUGAAGCUGAAGGCGG